UUUCCUGUGCUUUUUCCAAGGUUUUAUGGAAAAGAUUCCAAGAUUUUCUGAAGAUAUUCCUUAAAUUCCUGUUGAUAUCCCAGGAUUUUGUGAAGAUAUUCCAUAAAUUCCUGUCCAAAUUCCAAGGUUUUCCUGUGUUAUUCCAUAAAUUCCUGUCGAUAUCCCAAGUUUUCCUGUUAUUCCAAGAUUUUAUGGAAAAUAUUCCAAGAUUUUCUGAGGAUAUUCCAUAAAUUCCUGUUGAUAUCCCGAGGUUUUCCUGUGCUUUUUCCAAGGUUUUAUGGAAAAUAUUCCAAGAUUUUUGUGAGGAUAUUCCUUAAAUUCCUGUCAUUAUCCCAAGGUUUUCUGAAGAUAUUCCUUAAAUUCCUGUUGAUAUCCCAAGAUUUUCCUGUGACAUUCCAUAAAUUCCUGUCCAUAUCCCAA
This is a long non-coding RNA of Vidua macroura (Pin-tailed whydah), 420 nucleotides long. RefSeq lists it as uncharacterized. The transcript is spliced from 2 exons. NCBI's taxonomy places the organism in Eukaryota, Metazoa, Chordata, Aves, Passeriformes, Viduidae. The record is from RefSeq and is a predicted model, not a curated record.